GACGAACGCUGGCGGCGUGCCUAAUACAUGCAAGUAGAACGCUGAAGGAGGAGCUUGCUUCUCCGGAUGAGUUGCGAACGGGUGAGUAACGCGUAGGUAACCUGCCUGGUAGCGGGGGAUAACUAUUGGAAACGAUAGCUAAUACCGCAUAACAGUAGAUAUUGCAUGAUAUCUGCUUGAAAGGUGCAAUUGCAUCACUACCAGAUGGACCUGCGUUGUAUUAGCUAGUUGGUGAGGUAACGGCUCACCAAGGCGACGAUACAUAGCCGACCUGAGAGGGUGAUCGGCCACACUGGGACUGAGACACGGCCCAGACUCCUACGGGAGGCAGCAGUAGGGAAUCUUCGGCAAUGGACGGAAGUCUGACCGAGCAACGCCGCGUGAGUGAAGAAGGUUUUCGGAUCGUAAAGCUCUGUUGUAAGAGAAGAACGAGUGUGAGAGUGGAAAGUUCACACUGUGACGGUAUCUUACCAGAAAGGGACGGCUAACUACGUGCCAGCAGCCGCGGUAAUACGUAGGUCCCGAGCGU
Molecule: ribosomal RNA, 529 nt
Filed under: uncultured bacterium
Lineage: Bacteria
Description: bacterial SSU rRNA
Rfam family: Bacterial small subunit ribosomal RNA
Source: RNAcentral